RNAcentral lists this unclassified non-coding RNA (242 nucleotides) under Hevea brasiliensis (rubber tree). The record is from RNAcentral. Lineage: Eukaryota; Viridiplantae; Streptophyta; Magnoliopsida; Malpighiales; Euphorbiaceae.
UUUCUUCUUAAUAAUCACAUCAUCAUCCGGUGCUACUUUUCUGACCGGCGGUGGGUUGACGGUGACCGGAGACGGCGCGACGGUAGCGGCAGCGGCAGAGGCUCAGAGUAAUAGAUAUGGCGGAAGACAAGUAUAAUCUAAAAAAUCCAGCGGUGAAGAGAAUCUUACAGGAGGUUAAAGAGAUGCAAUCAAAUCCUUCCGAUGAUUUCAUGAGCCUUCCUCUUGAGGAGAACAUAUUUGAA